CGUAUACGUAGUUAAAAUGUAUAUUGUAUUUUUCGCUGACUUUGCUCUAUUUUUAAGGUUUUAAAAGUAAUAUAGGCCACUCCUUCAUGUGACCACAGUGAAUUGAAAUUGUAUAAAAACCAACUCCAUUUGGAUAUUUGACAAAAGUUUUGUUUUCGGCUUUCAACGUAGACAUUAUAGUUACAGUUUCAACGUGGUUAUUGUUGUAAGAAAACGAAACAAUGUUCACAGUGAAAAUGUUCCUUGUUGGUAUUGCUGUUAUCCAUGUACUAGGUAAACAGGAAGAAAAGACAUGUAGUGCGGAUAACAAGAACACAUGCGAUCCUUGCGGAUUAACUGGAAAAUGGGUGAAUGAGCUUGGAUCUAAAUUGGAAAUAACAUGCAAACUCGAUUCACCGGACCGGAAUUCAACAGGAGAAAUCAUUGGCAAGUAUAAUAGUGCCGUAGGUGCUGCUGCAAAUUAUUAUCCAUUAUCGGGAAGAUUUACAAUACCUGAUCCGGAGCCUAGGAAUUGUAUCGUAGGAUUUGUCGUAGCGUGGAACAAUGAAGCAUAUGGUAACUCAAAUUCUGCAACUAGCUUUACAGGAUCGUAUUAUAAAGACACCGAUAAAAUAUAUACCUUCUGGAUACUGACUAGAUACACGAAAUUUAUAGAUAUGUGGGAGAACAGCAACAUUGGGCAGAACGUCUUUACCAGAAUUCUUACUAAUUAAACUGAUAUUGUUACGUAAUAUUUUCAUUCUGGUUUUUUUUUUCAAUGAUUCUUAAAGUAAACAAGAAAUGGGAUAAAACAAAUCCCUCUUUAUUUUUAACAAAUAUAAAAAGCAAUUGGUUGCUAUUUAUAAUUUCCUUUUUAAUUCAAUCUUCAAUGAAUCAUGUGUUGAAAGAAGGAUGAACAUAUGUGUUAAACGUUACCCUUUUCCCAGAAAUAUCUUGUGAAAUAAUAAUUGUCUUUAAAAACAGAAAGUGCCUCAAUCGAUUCUACGUUAAUUUUUGUCUGUCUAUCAAAUAAAAACAAUUGGUUUUUUUUACAAAUAAUAAAAAUAACUUUAAUACCUUUUUAAUAAUAACUUCUUAUUUUGUC
Molecule: long non-coding RNA, 1084 nt
Organism: Mytilus californianus (California mussel)
Lineage: Eukaryota; Metazoa; Mollusca; Bivalvia; Mytilida; Mytilidae
Exons: 3
Source: RefSeq, a predicted model, not a curated record